CCAGGUGCAUGUGAUGACUGAUCUUUUUUCCCCAGCAGAUCGAUAGUGUUGACAUUUGCUCUAAACUUUAAGCCAAUUUAUCUGAAGCACCAUG
This is a small nucleolar RNA of Carassius auratus (goldfish), 94 nucleotides long. Ensembl annotates it as small nucleolar SNORD12/SNORD106. The record is from Ensembl. Lineage: Eukaryota; Metazoa; Chordata; Actinopteri; Cypriniformes; Cyprinidae.